UUUACAAUAAUGUCUUUUGGAGGAGAACGUGAAAUCUACACAUUGCGGAGAUGGAUGUACAACCAUAGAGAUCCGUCGACCAGUGAUGUGACGAGAGAGUUUGUUGAUGAAUUGCGUGGUUUUAUGUAUCAAGUAGGCCUGGGCAUUCGGUUAACCAUUCGGUUUCGGUUCGGUUGCGCAUGGUUUCGAUUAU
This 193-nucleotide small RNA is filed under the name Arabidopsis thaliana (thale cress). RNAcentral describes it as "ATSL170940". The record is from RNAcentral. Lineage: Eukaryota; Viridiplantae; Streptophyta; Magnoliopsida; Brassicales; Brassicaceae.